RNAcentral lists this long non-coding RNA (573 nucleotides) under Homo sapiens (human). RNAcentral describes it as "CSRP1 antisense RNA 1, transcript variant 3 (CSRP1-AS1)". Lineage: Eukaryota; Metazoa; Chordata; Mammalia; Primates; Hominidae. The record is from RNAcentral.
ACUCCAGGGCUGAUGUCAUGGCGCGAAGCCCGGCGGUGCUGCCCUCCUAGGCCCCGGGAAGGCCGGCCGGCAGGGGCGGGGGCAGGAGUCGCCGACUCUGGGGGUGCUCCGAGCUCGUGCUGCGGUCCCACUGUGCGCCCUGUCGCCGCCACCGCGGAAAACGUCUUGCACGUGCGAGGGGCAUUUCAGGAGUUUCCUGUCUGUCAGGCUGGAGUGAAGUGGCACGAUCUCGGCUCACUGCAACCUCUGUCUCCCGGGUUCAAGCAAUUCUCCUGCCUCAGCCUCCCAGGGACCUGGGAUUUCUGGAUUCACCCGGUAUCCAGGCUCUCCCAGAGCGGCACUUUAGCUGGCCAAGGCCUGGAGCAGAGUGUGUGCAGCGCUCCCACGGCCGCCUGCCCGGGCCUGCCCCCGACACAUGCUUAGUGGAAUUCUCCCGUGGCAGCCCAGAGUCUCCGGAACGAAGGUCUCCACAGCCAAAGCCACGCAAGAGGCUCUCCUGCUCUCAUUUCCAGACGCACCCUCAUCCUUGGCCUCUCCCUGCCUCAGUUCUCUUUGACUCCUCCGGUCCUUGUU